This 1932-nucleotide long non-coding RNA is filed under the name Gallus gallus (chicken). RNAcentral describes it as "lncRNA (ENSGALG00010019765.1)". Lineage: Eukaryota; Metazoa; Chordata; Aves; Galliformes; Phasianidae. The record is from RNAcentral.
AAUUUAGAAUUCUUUCUUAUCUCAAGGGUGUAUCCUAGUGUAGCAAAUCUGGCUUAUGGAGAUUUUUUAUUUCUUUUUGCUUGUUUUUUGGUUUUGUUUUGUUUCCUUUUUAGAUAGGAAUGAAGGAACUUGUAGGAUUCUGAAGAAAAACAGACAUGUGAUAUCUACAAAGGUUCUUCCUAUGAAGAGAAAUUACACUGCAUUUUGUAGACCUUGAUACCUCUCCUUUAAUGAAAAUUUGGGUUGAAUAAGACUGAGUUUCUUUGAGUUUCUGGAUUUCUCUGCCAGUGAGUCCAUAACUGUCUUCAUUGCAGCAGCUGACUGUGCUCUUGAGAGAUGGGGCGGAAUGGAGAAAAGUAACAGCAGAAAUGUUAGGAAUGGAAGUUAAAGGUUGAGAAUUCAAGAGGACUGCAGAUUCACAGUUCCAGGUUUUCGCUUGUAAUGGCCUACAGCACUACUGCAGGCUUCCUGAUGGAGAAACAAAUUUGUGCCAGCUUGCUGAAUAACCUCCGUAAUGUUCAGCCGAUCAGAACUUCUCCAUCUGUGUGUCCAUCCAUCCAAAGAACCAGAUGCUCUGAAAAACACUUCAUCCACCCCUCCUGAUGCAUCCAUAUCUGAAAUAUGUUGCUACCAUAACUGCAGUUUUCAGCCCUACAAGCAAAGCCAGCUACUGACCUAUCUGGAGCUCUCAAUUGUUUAGUCACCUGCUCAGAGAAAAUGAAAUCACUAACUGGGAGCAUCAAUAAUAAAAACUCAUAGAAAGAAACUAUUUCACCAAGGCCUAAGUCCAGACAAUAAGUGGAUUUCACCAGGAUGGGAAGCUAAGAUAAAUAUUCCGUGAUGCAAGCACUGGAACUUCUGCUUUGGGCAACUAUUUACUGCUGAAACAUCUGCAUAAGCUGAAGUUACUGACUCCCAACUGUUUGUUACCAUUACUCCUCUGCCAAAAAUUGCUACCCCAUAGAACAUGGUGUUGCUCAGCCAGUAGAAUGGAUCACAUAGGCAUUCCCUGCCUCAGCUGUUUCAGUAUAAAGUUAGCUUGUUAAUUUAAAUUCUACUUCUCAUACAUUUUACAGAAUGAAGUAGUAGAAUUUCUGCUGAAGAUUCAGUUCAGUGUUCAAUAUUAAAUACAUUUUGCAAAAUUUUAAGAAUUGAGCACAAAGCCCAUAGGGCUUUUAAGCUCAUCUUGAUGUUUGCCUGAACCUUCCUAUCCUGAAGCAGCCUUAAAAUGUUGGUAUUAUUAGUUUUCAAGUGAUUUGCUUAAUUAGAGCUAACAUAAAUCUUUGUUGCCAGGUAUGAACAGCUGCUGCAGAGAGAAUCAAGAGCAAAACUCAAUGAGAUUCUUAUGGCAGCAGAAAAGAUAUCAGGAGUGGCCACAACACUACACAGCACUGUUCCGCAGCUACUUGUUAAUGCUUUUAUGCUGUGUUGAUAUAAAUAGGCACAUAGAAUCUAACAGAAAUGCUCAAGUAGUAAAUCUGCAAUUCUGUCAGGAGCUUAUUCUCCAUCUUAAACUUGACCUUUCCUCAAAGCUUCCAUCUAGAAACUGCAACAUAAUUGUUUUGUAUCCAGAACUGAUGAAGAAUUUGGAUUCCAGUGCAAAACAGACAUGCAGAUAUGGGGACAUAAGAAUUUUAACUAUAUGCACAGCUUGCACAUCAGUUUUUACAUCUGUCUCAUACUGAUGCGAUAAAUUGACUAAGAAGUCCUGUCAAAAAACUGAGUAGCUAUGAGGAACAGGAUGGAGUUAGAACUGUAUUAUAAUGUCUUCUCCAUUUGGAAACCUUUGGCUAGAGGUGUAAGAUUAGUCCCUAGCAGUUGUAGUCAUCAUCAAGCUUCAAUGCCUUUGCAUCAUGAAACUGUACCCUCUUUUAGAAAUAGCAAUAAUCUCUAGUUCCAAACUGCAUCACAUGAAUACAGCAUUAAAAGUUU